GGUCAAAAAUUGGGGUUUUUGGGGUUAAAAAUUGGAUUUUUUUGGGAUUUAAAAUUGGGGUUUUUGGGUUAAAAAUUGGUUUUUUUUGGGGUUAAAAAUCGGAUUUUUUUGGCUUUCAAAUCGGAUUUUUUGGGUUAAAAAUCGGAUUUUUUUGGGUUAAAAAUCGGAAUUUUUUGGGGUUAAAAAUCGGAUUUUUUGGGGUUAAAAAUGGGAUUUUUUGGGGUUAAAGAUCAGAUUUUUUGGGGUUAAAAAUGGGAUUUUUUGGGGUUAAAAAUCGGAUUUUUUGGGGCUAAAAAUCGGAUUU
RNAcentral lists this long non-coding RNA (304 nucleotides) under Lonchura striata (white-rumped munia). RNAcentral's name for it is "domestica (Bengalese finch) lncRNA (ENSLSDG00000003601.1)". Lineage: Eukaryota; Metazoa; Chordata; Aves; Passeriformes; Estrildidae. The record is from RNAcentral.